This 460-nucleotide ribosomal RNA is filed under the name uncultured bacterium. RNAcentral describes it as "partial 16S ribosomal RNA". It matches the Rfam family "Bacterial small subunit ribosomal RNA", at positions 338 to 795 of the family's 1533-position model. The record is from RNAcentral.
CCUACGGGUGGCAGCAGUGAGGAAUAUUGGUCAAUGGGCGAGAGCCUGAACCAGCAAAGUCGCGUGAAGGAUGAAGGAUCUAUGGUUUGUAAACUUCUUUUAUAUGGGAAUAAAGUGCGGUAUGUGUUCCUUUUUGUAUGUACCAUAUGAAUAAGCAUCGCCUAACUACGUGCCAGCAGCCGCGGUAAUACGGAGGAUGCGAGCGUUAUACGGAUUUAAUGGGUUUAACGGGUGCGUAGGUGGUUUAUUAAGUCAGCGGUGAAAGUUUGUGGCUCAACCAUAAAAUUGCCGUUGAAACUGGUAGACUUGAGUAUAUUAGAGGUAGGUGGAAUGCGUGGGGUAGCGGUGAAAUGCGUAGAUAUCACGAAGAACUCCGAUUGCGAAGGCAGCUUGCUAGACUAUAACUGACGCUGAAGCACGAAAGCGUGGGGAGCAAACAGGAUUAGAUACCCGAGUAGUC